GACGAACGCAGGCGGCGUGCUUAACACAUGCAAGUCUACGAGAAAGGGGUAGCAAUAUCCCGAGUAAAGUGGCGCACGGGUGAGUAACACGUAAGUAAUCUACCUUUAGGUUCGGAAUAACCCAGAGAAAUCUGGGCUAAUACCGGAUGAUGCAGCGGAUCCACAUGGAUAUGUUGUUAAAGUCUAUACGACGCCUAAAGAUGAGCUUGCGGCCGAUUAGCUAGUUGGUAGGGUAACGGCCUACCAAGGCAACGAUCGGUAGCUGGUCUGAGAGGAUGAUCAGCCACACUGGAACUGAGACACGGUCCAGACUCCUACGGGAGGCAGCAGUGAGGAAUAUUGGGCAGUGCCCGAAAGGGUGACCCAGCAACGCCGCGUGGAGGAUGAAGGUCGUAAGAUUGUAAACUCCUGUUAGAGGGGACGAAUAACACCGAUCGACUCGGUGCUUGACUGUACCCUCAGAGAAAGCCCCGGCUAACUACGUGCCAGCAGCCGCGGUAAUACGUANGGGGCAAGCGUUGUCCGGAUUCACUGGGUGUAAAGGGCGCGCAGGCGGGUUAGCAAGUCAGANGUGAAAUCCUACAGCUUAACUGUAGAACUGCCUUUGAAACUGUUAAUCUUGAGUGCGGAAGANAGAGACGGAAUUCCAGGUGUAGCGGUGAAAUGCGUAGAUAUCUGGAAGACACCAGUUGCGAAGGCGGUCUCNUGGUCCGUUACUGACGCUCNGCGCGAAAGCNUGGGGNGCAAACNGGAUUAGAUACCCUGGNAGUCCANNCCCUAAAC
RNAcentral lists this ribosomal RNA (783 nucleotides) under uncultured bacterium. RNAcentral's name for it is "bacterial SSU rRNA". It matches the Rfam family "Bacterial small subunit ribosomal RNA", at positions 28 to 807 of the family's 1533-position model. The record is from RNAcentral.